Molecule: ribosomal RNA, 253 nt
Filed under: uncultured bacterium
Lineage: Bacteria
Description: partial 16S ribosomal RNA
Rfam family: Bacterial small subunit ribosomal RNA
Source: RNAcentral
UACAGAGGUCCCAAGCGUUGUUCGGAUUCACUGGGCGUAAAGGGUGCGUAGGUGGUCGGGUAAGUCCGAUGUGAAAUCUCUGGGCUCAACCCAGAAAUGGCAUUGGAUACUAUUCGGCUAGAGGAGUGGAGGGGGGACUGGAAUACUUGGUGUAGCAGUGAAAUGCGUAGAUAUCAAGUGGAACACCAGUGGCGAAGGCGAGUCCCUGGACACUUCCUGACACUGAGGCACGAAAGCUAGGGGAGCAAACAGG